GUGCGUGUGCUGGAAUUGGUAGACAGGCCAGCUUGAGGUGCUGGUGUUUCGGCGUGCGGGUUCGAGUCCCGCCAUGCACA
Molecule: transfer RNA, 80 nt
Filed under: Phage Phass-1
Lineage: Duplodnaviria; Heunggongvirae; Uroviricota; Caudoviricetes
Rfam family: tRNA
About the family: Transfer RNA (tRNA) molecules are approximately 80 nucleotides in length. Their secondary structure includes four short double-helical elements and three loops (D, anti-codon, and T loops).
Source: Rfam by way of RNAcentral